This 597-nucleotide unclassified non-coding RNA is filed under the name Hevea brasiliensis (rubber tree). Lineage: Eukaryota; Viridiplantae; Streptophyta; Magnoliopsida; Malpighiales; Euphorbiaceae. The record is from RNAcentral.
GCCCUUACACCUUAUAAUACAAAGUCAUAAACAUAAACUACAAAUAACCAUCUCCCUGGCAUUGCUAGAAAAAAUAACAGCAAACCAGAGAGAUCCCUACAUAAUAACCAAUAAUUAUAAACCUAUAACACAAGCCAACAAUGCUCAAGAGAUGUCAAAAAUCCCAUCUACAAGAGCCGGUGAUGGUCCAUCCAUCAUCAAUUCGACGACAGAAUUGCGUCCCAGUCGAUAUCCCCCGACGGAUACUUCCUCAGCACAAAGCUAUCAGCCUCGUCCCACGGCACCUCAGUGAAAUCCAGCUGCUGCAUUUCCGUCAUCUCCGACAUCGGCGGCGACCCCUCCUCUGAGGAGCUCUCCGUCUCCUCCUUGCUCGGAGACGCCAGCGGAGCUGGCAGCUCAGGCCCGCUCUUCGCCAGGUUCUGGCAGACGGCCUGGAGCUUGGCGUCGAGUGGGCCAGCGGUGGCGACCGGGCGGGGGAGGCCGGGGAAGUUGAGCCGAGCGAAGUCGCCUCGGAGGCGGUAGGCAGCUUUGUCAUAAGCCAUGGCAGCCUCCUCCGCGGUGUCGAAUGUGCCGAGCCAGAGGCGGGUGCGGUUCUUG